UGUACACACCGCCCGUCACACCAUGGGAGUGGGUUGCAAAAGAAGUAGGUAGCUUAACCUUCGGGAGGGCGCUUACCACUUUGUGAUUCAUGACUGGGGUGAAGUCGUAACAAGGUAACCGUAGGGGAACCUGCGGUUGGAUCA
RNAcentral lists this ribosomal RNA (144 nucleotides) under Escherichia coli. RNAcentral describes it as "16S rRNA body domain from Escherichia coli (PDB 3J2C, chain O)". It matches the Rfam family "Bacterial small subunit ribosomal RNA", at positions 1382 to 1525 of the family's 1533-position model. Lineage: Bacteria; Pseudomonadati; Pseudomonadota; Gammaproteobacteria; Enterobacterales; Enterobacteriaceae. The record is from RNAcentral.